CCCUUGACAUGUCCAGUAUGGUUUCCAGAGAUGGAUCCUUCAGUUCGGCUGGCUGGAACACAGGUGCUGCAUGGCUGUCGUCAGCUCGUGUCGUGAGAUGUUGGGUUAAGUCCCGCAACGAGCGCAACCCUCAUCCUUAGUUGCCAUCACGUUUGGGUGGGCACUCUAAGGAAACUGCCGGUGGCAAGCCGGAGGAAGGUGGGGAUGACGUCAAGUCCUCAUGGCCCUUACGGGUAGGGCUACGCACGUGCUACAAUGGCAGUGACAAUGGGAUAAUCCCAAAAAGCUGUCUCAGUUCGGAUUGUCGUCUGCAACUCGACGGCAUGAAGGUGGAAUCGCUAGUAAUCGUGGAUCAGCAUGCCACGGUGAAUACGUUCCCGGGCCUU
Molecule: ribosomal RNA, 386 nt
Filed under: uncultured Hyphomonas sp.
Lineage: Bacteria; Pseudomonadati; Pseudomonadota; Alphaproteobacteria; Hyphomonadales; Hyphomonadaceae
Description: bacterial SSU rRNA
Rfam family: Bacterial small subunit ribosomal RNA
Source: RNAcentral